This is a long non-coding RNA of Hemicordylus capensis (graceful crag lizard), 873 nucleotides long. RefSeq lists it as uncharacterized. NCBI's taxonomy places the organism in Eukaryota, Metazoa, Chordata, Lepidosauria, Squamata, Cordylidae. The transcript has 6 exons. The record is from RefSeq and is a predicted model, not a curated record.
CUCAGGGGAGUGGUUUGCUAGGUGGAGUUGAGAGUAUUUAGCUAGACAACAACAACAAAUCCCUCCAGCAAUUCUACUGGACAGGAAAAGGAGAACAAAAUGUAUUGAAUGAAAGCCUGUGUAGGAGUUCUAGGGAAGAGGCCAAAGGCUGAAACCAGGGGAGGGGCAGUAUCAGCUCAGCUCCUCCACCCAUUUUCAAAGAAGGGGACGAAAGAUCCAGACUAUCAUAUAAUGCAGUAUCUCCCUUGAACAGAGGAAUUAAUGUGGUUGUGCGUGUUCAGGAUAAAUUCUACUAUUCAGCUGUCAACUCUGCCGUAGCUGGCUUUGAAGUUCUGUGCACACCUGUGUGGAUGGAUCACAAAGAAAGUAAGGCUAGACCUCCCACACCCUUACUCAAAAUUCACAAUGCAACAUGUCAGAGUAAGCUUCAUAGUCAUUUGUAGACUGAAGAAUGACCCAGCAUCCCUUGAUGAAGAGCUAUAGACACUUGAAGCAUGUUGGAUGACUUGAAGAAGACGUUUUUAAAAAAUGCUUAUGGCACAUUUCUGAAGUUUUAUGUUACCAGUCCACACAUGAACCUGUCCCCUUGUCUCAUGAAAUCUAAGUUUUUCAAGAGUCUUUGAUGAGGAACUUUGUUGAAAGCAUUUUGGAAGUCCAAGUAUACGAUGUCAACUGGUUCACCUUUGUCUACCCACCUGCUGACACUCUCAAACAACUCCAGAAGUUCUCAGCAACACACAGAUACAGGAUGCGGAUGGGAAAACUGAAUGGAGAAACCUGUGGAGACGCUGCUUCUGCAUCCACUGCUUCUGAACAGUGUCGAGGUUCGCUUUGAAGUCCACAGCUACCUCGGAUACAGUGUGAUGGAGCUGU